GGCUGUUUCAGGGUGUCAUCACCUUAAAAGGGGGCCAAAGGGGCUGCAAGGUAAAUUGGUGAUGCAAGUCUGAGAUAUCUAAUUCCUCAGGUAAAGAGAGUCAGGUAUUACAGAAACGUCAAGCGUUAUCAAGAUGUCAUCCAAGGGGAUAAAGGUAUGUCUCGAAGAUAUUUCAAGUGUGGUUCCAGACCAUCACAAGAAAGUGAACAUCACAAUAAAAUGAAUCACAUGAAGAUUUUGAA
Long non-coding RNA from Odocoileus virginianus texanus, 242 nucleotides. RefSeq lists it as uncharacterized. The record is from RefSeq and is a predicted model, not a curated record. Lineage: Eukaryota; Metazoa; Chordata; Mammalia; Artiodactyla; Cervidae.